RNAcentral lists this transfer RNA (77 nucleotides) under Pueribacillus theae. RNAcentral describes it as "tRNA-Asp". It matches the Rfam family "tRNA". Rfam says of the family: Transfer RNA (tRNA) molecules are approximately 80 nucleotides in length. Their secondary structure includes four short double-helical elements and three loops (D, anti-codon, and T loops). Lineage: Bacteria; Bacillati; Bacillota; Bacilli; Caryophanales; Bacillaceae. The record is from RNAcentral.
GGUCCCGUAGUGUAGUGGCCUACCACGCCUGCCUGUCACGCAGGAGAUCGCGGGUUCGAAUCCCGUCGGGACCGCCA